GCUCGCCGACCGAGGAAAACAUGCUUUGCAGACUCGUCUCGAUUUUGAGCAAGCAAGCAUUUUUUUCAUUUUUUUUGAGUCAAAUGGCGAACCACAAAGAGCAGGAGGAUAUUGAACCCACAAAUGGACUCCGGAUCAGGUCCGACACCUAAUAAGCUUUAGGACUACCAACGAGGAGAAUUUUACAAAGAAGAAAUAUGCUGCUAAACCACUGUGGGAGAAACUCAUCAAAGAGCUGGAACUGGAGGGAAAGGUGACCACAGCACAAAUUGGCAAAAAAUGGAACACUUUGGAAGACGCCAGCACAUCGGCCUCAAGCUCUGCCUCCCCAGCUGGAAGAGGAAGCUGGAAGCUUCAGGCAUCAGGUCCACUUUCCCCCCGAUCCCCCAAAAAAAAGAAACUCUCUAUGCAGGACUUCCUUCAGGCUGAGGCCGCCAAAGAAGACAGAAGAUGUCAAAAGAAUGAAGAACACAUGGACAGGUUCCUGAACCUUUUAGAGAAAAUGGUGGACCAGACACCUCAUCAGCAGUAGCAGCACAUACACUGCAAACUUUUUUUUUGUACAUAUUUCUGUGCAAAUUUUUUUAUAUGGAACAGCACCUUUCUUUGU
Molecule: long non-coding RNA, 610 nt
Organism: Cololabis saira (Pacific saury)
Lineage: Eukaryota; Metazoa; Chordata; Actinopteri; Beloniformes; Belonidae
Exons: 4
Source: RefSeq, a predicted model, not a curated record